UGGGGAAUUUUGGACAAUGGGCGCAAGCCUGAUCCAGCAAUGCCGCGUGCAGGAUGAAGGCCUUCGGGUUGUAAACUGCUUUUGUACGGAACGAAAAGCCUCUCCCUAAUACAGGGGGGUGAUGACGGUACCGUAAGAAUAAGCACCGGCUAACUACGUGCCAGCAGCCGCGGUAAUACGUAGGGUGCAAGCGUUAAUCGGAAUUACUGGGCGUAAAGCGUGCGCAGGCGGUUUUGUAAGACAGUGGUGAAAUCCCCGGGCUCAACCUGGGAACUGCCAUUGUGACUGCAAGGCUGGAGUGCGGCAGAGGGGGAUGGAAUUCCGCGUGUAGCAGUGAAAUGCGUAGAUAUGCGGAGGAACACCGAUGGCGAAGGCAAUCCCCUGGGCCUCACUGACGCUCAUGCACGAAAGCGUGGGGAGCAAACAGGAUUAGAUNCCCCUGGUAGUCCACGCCCUAAANGAUGUCAACUGGUUGUUGGGGAUUUAUUUCUUCAGUAACGAGCUAACGCGUGAAGUUGACNCCUGGGGAGUACGGCCGCAGGUUAAAACUC
RNAcentral lists this ribosomal RNA (551 nucleotides) under uncultured bacterium. Its description in RNAcentral is "partial 16S ribosomal RNA". It matches the Rfam family "Bacterial small subunit ribosomal RNA", at positions 355 to 902 of the family's 1533-position model. The record is from RNAcentral.